This 253-nucleotide ribosomal RNA is filed under the name uncultured bacterium. Its description in RNAcentral is "partial 16S ribosomal RNA". It matches the Rfam family "Bacterial small subunit ribosomal RNA", at positions 524 to 776 of the family's 1533-position model. The record is from RNAcentral.
UACGUAGGGUGCGAGCGUUAUCCGGAAUUAUUGGGCGUAAAGAGCUUGUAGGCGGUUUGUCGCGUCUGCUGUGAAAAUCCGGGGCUCAACCCCGGACUUGCAGUGGGUACGGGCAGACUAGAGUGUGGUAGGGGAGACUGGAAUUCCUGGUGUAGCGGUGAAAUGCGCAGAUAUCAGGAGGAACACCGAUGGCGAAGGCAGGUCUCUGGGCAACUACUGACGCUGAGAAGCGAAAGCAUGGGGAGCGAACAGG